Molecule: transfer RNA, 66 nt
Filed under: Lachnospira rogosae (ex Hitch et al. 2025)
Lineage: Bacteria; Bacillati; Bacillota; Clostridia; Lachnospirales; Lachnospiraceae
Also listed under: 1 other name
Rfam family: tRNA
About the family: Transfer RNA (tRNA) molecules are approximately 80 nucleotides in length. Their secondary structure includes four short double-helical elements and three loops (D, anti-codon, and T loops).
Source: RNAcentral
ACUAUGGCUCAGUCGGUAGAGCAACUGAUUCGUAAUCAGUAGGUCGCCGGUUCGAUUCCGGCUAGU